CCACCUUCCUGGAUCCUUCCAGCAUGUUCUACCUCUGCUGGGACCACAAGGAACAGGAGCUGAUGGGGUUGAGCUGCACAUCCACACAACUGGCUGGGUGGCAUCUGGAUUCAGCCCUCAUGGAGAGCUGCCUGGGUCUGACGUUGUGACAAGAGGUGCCUUCCAAAAGGGCAGCAUCUGCUUCUCUAGACCCAUCAAACUGAACUGACCCAAGAAGGUUCUUCACCUCUGACCUGAGACUGCACAAUGUUGUGUUUGCUUGGCUUCUCUGGGCCUCUGAUUAUGGGACAUGAGGCACGGAAUACCAGAUCACAUCCUUG
Ficedula albicollis (Collared flycatcher) is the source of this 320-nucleotide long non-coding RNA. RefSeq lists it as uncharacterized. The record is from RefSeq and is a predicted model, not a curated record. The transcript is spliced from 3 exons. NCBI's taxonomy places the organism in Eukaryota, Metazoa, Chordata, Aves, Passeriformes, Muscicapidae.